GACGUAGGGCGCGAGCGUUUGUCCGGAUUUAUUGGGCGUAAAGAGCUCGUAGGCGGCUUGUUGCGUCGACUGUGAAAACCUGCGGCUUAACCGCGGGCUUGCAGUUGAUACGGGCAGACUAGAGUGUGGUAGGGGAGACUGGAAUUCCUGGUGUAGCGGUGAAAUGCGCAGAUAUCAGGAGGAACACCGAUGGCGAAGGCAGGUCUCUGGGCCACUACUGACGCUGAGAAGCGAAAGCAUGGGGAGCGAACAGG
RNAcentral lists this ribosomal RNA (254 nucleotides) under uncultured bacterium. RNAcentral's name for it is "partial 16S ribosomal RNA". It matches the Rfam family "Bacterial small subunit ribosomal RNA", at positions 524 to 776 of the family's 1533-position model. The record is from RNAcentral.